AGAGUUUGAUCAUGGCUCAGAACGUACGCUGGCGGCACGCCUAACACAUGCAAGUCGAACGAAGUAGCAAUACUUAGUGGCAGACGGGUGAGUAACAUGUAGGUAUCUGCCCUUUGGCCUGGAAUAACACGAGGAAACUUGUGCUAAUACCGGAUAAGUCUUUACGGAGAAAGCUUUAUGCACCAUUGGAUGAGCCUGCACUUGAUUAGUUUGUUGGUGGGGUAAUGGCCUACCAAGACUGUGAUCAAUAGCUGAUUUGAGAGGAUGAUCAGCCACAUUGGGACUGAGACACGGCCCAAACUCCUACGGGAGGCAGCAGUGGGGAAUCUUGCACAAUGGAGGAAACUCUGAUGCAGCGAUGCCGCGUGAGUGAAGAAGGCCCUUGGGUUGUAAAGCUCUUUCGUCGGGGAAGAAAAUGACUGUACCCGAAUAAGAAGGUCCGGCUAACUUCGUGCCAGCAGCCGCGGUAAUACGAAGGGACCUAGCGUAGUUCGGAAUUACUGGGCUUAAAGAGUUCGUAGGUGGUUGAAAAAGUUAGUGGUGAAAUCCCAGAGCUUAACUCUGGAACUGCCAUUAAAACUUUUCAGCUAGAGUAUGAUAGAGGAAAGCAGAAUUUCUAGUGUAGAGGUGAAAUUCGUAGAUAUUAGAAAGAAUACCAAUUGCGAAGGCAGCUUUCUGGAUCAUUACUGACACUGAGGAACGAAAGCAUGGGUAGCGAAGAGGAUUAGAUACCCUCGUAGUCCAUGCCGUAAACGAUGUGUGUUAGACGUUGGAAAUUUAUUUUCAGUGUCGCAGGGAAACCGAUAAACACACCGCCUGGGGAGUACGACCGCAAGGUUAAAACUCAAAUGAAUUGACGGGGACCCGCACAAGUAGUGGAGCAUGUGGUUUAAUUCGAAGAUACGCGCAGAACCUUACCAACACUUGACAUGUUCGUCGCGACUCUAAGAGAUUAGAGUCUUCGGUUCGGCCGGACGAAACACAGGUGCUGCAUGGCUGUCGUCAGCUCGUGUCGUGAGAUGUUGGGUUAAGUCCCGCAACGAGCGCAACCCUCACUUUUAGUUGCCAUCAUUAAGUUGGGCACUCUGAAAGAACUGCCAGUGAUAAGCUGGAGGAAGGUGGGGAUGACGUCAAGUCCUCAUGGCCCUUACGUGUUGGGCUACACACGUGCUACAAUGGUAUCUACAACAGGAAGCAAGACUGCGAAGUUAAGCAAAUCCCUAAAAGAUACCUCAGUUCGGAUUGCACUCUGCAACUCGAGUGCAUGAAGCUGGAAUUACUAGUAAUCGUGGAUCAGCGUGCCACGGUGAAUGCGUUCCCGGGUCUUGUACACACCGCCCGUCACACCAUGGGAGUUGGUUCUACCUUAAGGCAAGGUUUCAAACCCUUGACCACGGUAUAGUCAGCGACUGGGGUGAAGUCGUAACAAGGUA
Molecule: ribosomal RNA, 1433 nt
Filed under: uncultured bacterium
Lineage: Bacteria
Description: bacterial SSU rRNA
Rfam family: Bacterial small subunit ribosomal RNA
Source: RNAcentral